This 427-nucleotide ribosomal RNA is filed under the name uncultured bacterium. RNAcentral's name for it is "bacterial SSU rRNA". It matches the Rfam family "Bacterial small subunit ribosomal RNA", at positions 355 to 774 of the family's 1533-position model. The record is from RNAcentral.
UGGGGAAUUUUGGACAAUGGGCGCAAGCCUGAUCCAGCAAUGCCGCGUGCAGGAUGAAGGCCUUCGGGUUGUAAACUGCUUUUGUACGGAGCGAAAAGGUCUGCCCUAAUACGGUGGGCUCAUGACGGUACCGUAAGAAUAAGCACCGGCUAACUACGUGCCAGCAGCCGCGGUAAUACGUAGGGUGCGAGCGUUUAUCGGAAUUACUGGGCGUAAAGCGUGCGCAGGCGGUUAUGCAAGACAGAGGUGAAAUCCCCGGGCUCAACCUGGGAACUGCCUUUGUGACUGCAUAGCUGGAGUGCGGCAGAGGGGGAUGGAAUUCCGCGUGUAGCAGUGAAAUGCGUAGAUAUGCGGAGGAACACCGAUGGCGAAGGCAAUCCCCUGGGCCUGCACUGACGCUCAUGCACGAAAGCGUGGGGAGCAAACA